RNAcentral lists this non-coding RNA (184 nucleotides) under Fragilariopsis kerguelensis. Lineage: Eukaryota; Bacillariophyta; Bacillariophyceae; Bacillariales; Bacillariaceae. The record is from RNAcentral.
UCCGGAAAAGGAACAGUGAUGAUCGAACAAAAAAAAACAAAAAAAAAAACAAAAACACACAACUACACACAAUCAGCCAAACAGCAACAAAACAUCAUUCUAUCAUCCUAUCGAAAACCUGUUUCGUGUUUUCCUCCCCUCCAUUUCCACAUUCUCUCUUUUUUUUCUUUCUUUCUUUCUUUCU